GUAGGUGGCAGGCGUUGUCCGGAAUUAUUGGGCGUAAAGCGCGCGCAGGCGGUUCUUUAAGUCUGAUGUGAAAGCCCACGGCUCAACCGUGGAGGGUCAUUGGAAACUGGAGAACUUGAGUACAGAAGAGGAAAGCGGAAUUCCACGUGUAGCGGUGAAGUGCGUAGAGAUGUGGAGGAACACCAGUGGCGAAGGCGGCUUUCUGGUCUGUAACUGACGCUGAGGCGCGAAAGCGUGGGGAGCAAACAGGGAUUAGAUACCCUGGUAGUCCACGCCGUAAACGAUGAGUGCUAAGUGUUAGGGGGGUUUCCGCCCCCUUAGUGCUGCAGCUAACGCAUUAAGCACUCCGCCUGGGGAUACGGCCGCAAGGCUG
Molecule: ribosomal RNA, 373 nt
Filed under: uncultured organism
Description: partial 16S ribosomal RNA
Rfam family: Bacterial small subunit ribosomal RNA
Source: RNAcentral